This 307-nucleotide ribosomal RNA is filed under the name Ehrlichia chaffeensis. RNAcentral describes it as "bacterial SSU rRNA". It matches the Rfam family "Bacterial small subunit ribosomal RNA", at positions 113 to 437 of the family's 1533-position model. Lineage: Bacteria; Pseudomonadati; Pseudomonadota; Alphaproteobacteria; Rickettsiales; Anaplasmataceae. The record is from RNAcentral.
AUGCGUAGGAAUCUACCUAGUAGUAUGGAAUAGCCAUUAGAAAUGAUGGGUAAUACUGUAUAAUCCCUGCGGGGGAAAGAUUUAUCGCUAUUAGAUGAGCCUACGUUAGAUUAGCUAGUUGGUAAGGUAAUGGCUUACCAAGGCUAUGAUCUAUAGCUGGUCUGAGAGGACGAUCAGCCACACUGGAACUGAGAUACGGUCCAGACUCCUACGGGAGGCAGCAGUGGGGAAUAUUGGACAAUGGGCGAAAGCCUGAUCCAGCUAUGCCGCGUGAGUGAAGAAGGCCUUCGGGUUGUAAAACUCUUUC